RNAcentral lists this ribosomal RNA (450 nucleotides) under uncultured Glomeromycotina. RNAcentral describes it as "SSU rRNA". It matches the Rfam family "Eukaryotic small subunit ribosomal RNA", at positions 569 to 1024 of the family's 1831-position model. Lineage: Eukaryota; Fungi; Glomeromycota. The record is from RNAcentral.
CGCAGCCGCGGUAAUUCCAGCUCCAAUAGCGUAUAUUAAAGUUGUUGCAGUUAAAAAGCUCGUAGUUGAAUUUCGGGGUCAGUAGGUUGGUCGUGCCACCGGUACGUACUGGUCUCACUGAUUCCUCCUUCCUGAUGAGCUGUAAUGCCAUUAAUUUGGUGUUGCAGGGAAUCUGGACUGUUACUUUGAAAAAAUUAGAGUGUUUAAAGCAGGCUAACGCUUGAAUACAUUAGCAUGGAAUAAUGAAAUAGGACGUUCGAUCCUAUUUUGUUGGUUUCUAGGAUUGACGUAAUGAUUAAUAGGGAUAGUUGGGGGCAUUAGUAUUCAAUUGUCAGAGGUGAAAUUCUUGGAUUUAUUGAAGACUAACUACUGCGAAAGCAUUUGCCAAGGAUGUUUUCAUUAAUCAAGAACGAAAGUUAGGGAUCGAAGACGAUCAGAUACCGUCGUAGU